Molecule: long non-coding RNA, 2185 nt
Filed under: Homo sapiens (human)
Lineage: Eukaryota; Metazoa; Chordata; Mammalia; Primates; Hominidae
Description: HSALNT0330047
Source: RNAcentral
UGUUCUCUGUUUUGUGGGCUGAAUAUUUUUGAGCAGGGAUGGCAUUAUUUAGAGCUUUUUAUUGGUAGCCUACUGAGUGCUCAAACCUGUGCUAGUCCCUAUAGGGAAUAUGGAAAGACUUCUUGGAGCCAUUAUUAUGCUAGUGUCCAUUGUGAUGCUCCUGGCAAGGGCAUUCUCCUAUUCCUAUGACCACAGAGCUUCCCCUUCCCCUUUGCCCUGAAGAUUCUCUCAUGGGACUAGUGUUUCAUUGAAUAACAUGUUGGUUAUGUGUAGCAUGCUGGUUACGUGUAGCAUGCUGGUUAUGUGUAGCAUGCUGGUUAUGUGUGGCAUGCUGGUUACGUGUAGUGUGCUGGUUACGCGUAGCAUCCUGGUUAUGUGAGGCAUGCUGGUUAGGAGCUCUAGGCUCAGGAUCUUGAUUCUGCCCUCUUUGGUUGCAUGAGCUGUGCAAGCUGCUUAACAUCUUUCAGGCUAACUUUCUAUAUUUGUAAAAUGGGAAACAGACUUCUUAGGAAGAUUUUAAGAGAUGUCUUACAGGACCUGGCAGAUAUAUGCUCAAUAAAAAGUAAACUAGCUGGUGUUGCUGCUGUUGCUCUUACUGUUGUUUUUAUUGACUUGAAUAAAGGAAUCUUGCACCUGUCAAAAUGAAACACUACAUAGUAGGUCCUGAUAUUUUGCCAUACUCAGCUGGUGAUAAGAAUCAGAGAAGCCAGCCAUUUGAAUAACUAUGAUUUAUUGAAUUCUUACCAUGUUCUAAGUUCUUUAUGUAUACUGUUUCGUUUAAUCUUCACAACAAUUCUAGGAGUCAGGUUCAAUUGUUAUUGCCAUUUGAUAGAUGAUGAGGGCAAUGAGUCUUAGAGAGGUUAAAUAAUUUGCUAAAGGCCACACAGCCUGUAAAGUGGCAGAAGCUGGGACCAUCCAACUCUAAAGCCCACAUUCUUAGACAUUAGGGGAUAUUGAAUGAAGUGUGUGUAUGUAUGGGGGAAUUUAAGAGAAUAUCAAACCAUUUGUAGAGUUCUACCCAAUAUAGAGACCUUAUCUAAUGUAAGAGAACUCUGAAGACAUCUCAUUGAUUGAAUGCUCUCCCCUUCAUAGCAACUUCUUCUGCGGCUUCCUUGCCUGGUGCUCCAGUCUUUGAGGGAAGCACGGCUGGCACGUUCUUCCGUUUGGAGACAUGGUUGACAAUUUCUCCAUAAUGGGGACACAACUGGCAAUUUUCCUACAGAGUGAGGCAGAUGGCAAUUUUCCUUCAGAGACAUGCAGGCAACAGUUUUGCCCCUGGAGAGAAAAGCCUCGCCGAUUGAGAUGCAGCCAGUAAUUUUUACUAUACAGAAGACACAUCCAAUAAUUUUGCCCAGUGAGAGAAACGGCCAACAAUUUUCCCACAGAGGACAGGAAAAACAGACCAAAAAUUCAUAGUGGGGAGAAGUGAGGAGCAAAUGGGCUGGUAUGACCAAGAAAGACUUAAUAAGAAGCUGAGCCUUAAAUGAUCAAGAAGCACUGGAUAGAUAAGAGGAAUAAUCAUUUAUUAGCCAAGCGGGACUGGUGCCUUUUUGAGAACUGUCAUUCUGGAAAGAUAUUGAUUGAAGGAGGCCUCUGAGCACAUUCUCUCCAGCAGGCAGCCGUAAGGGAGGCGGCUGCAGUCCAGACAAGAUGAUGAGUUGGCAGUGAGCAUCUCGACAGGAGCCUAAUGAAGAAAUCUGGUAGCUUUGUGCAGUUACUCCAAGAGAAGCCCGAACUCCCUGGGGAGCCUCUGCCCAGGUGGAAGAGCUCUCGAGUGGCUAUUAUUAGGGGUGAUUGCUGGGAAGCUGGUUGCCAUGGCACCGCAGAGGCCAGUGCUGAACUCCCAAGCUGCCCCGUUUCCAAGGCUGUCUACAUAAUCACUGCAAUGAGAGGCACAGGCACAGAAAGGGAGAGAGGAGCAGCUCCCCACUGACAGUGAUCUCCCUGCAGAGCAAGGUGAGCAGUUCACAGCUGAGUACGACAGCCCAUCUUGGCAUGGGCCAAGCACUGCCUGGAGGGACCCUGGUGUGAGCUGGUCACUGCUUCACUGUCUUCUCAUGGAUCAGGCAGUCUGCCUCUGUGUUCCCAGUACUGGUUUUCUACAGGAAAACACUGCUCCUAAUCCACUGAUCCAUUUCUUAAAGGUUCCUGGAGUUUGCAAACAUCGAGUAGUGAUAGUCUUCCA